UACCACGUUUAAUUAAUACAGCAAUCGCCGAAAGACGCCCAGUUCAUUUACAUUUACCAAUCGAUGUCGCAAUCUCUGAAAUUGAGAUACCGACACCAUUUGAAGUAACGGCAGCCAAAGAUACGGAUGCAUCAACAUAUAUAGAGUUAUUAACAUCUAAAUUGCAUCAAUCGAAGCAGCCUAUCAUCAUUACUGGACAUGAAAUUAACAGUUUUCACCUCCAUCAAGAAUUAGAAGAUUUUGUAAAUCAAACACAGAUACCAGUAGCACAACUUUCAUUAGGAAAAGGUGCUUUUAAUGAGGAAAAUCCAUAUUAUAUGGGUAUUUACGAUGGGAAAAUUGCCGAAGAUAAAAUACGAGAUUAUGUGGACAACAGCGAUUUAAUUUUAAAUAUUGGAGCCAAAUUAACAGAUUCAGCAACAGCAGGUUUUCAUACCAAUUCAAUAUCGAUGAUGUCGUUAUGUUAAAUCAUCACAAUAUCAAAAUUGACGAUGUUACAAAUGAUGAAAUAUCUCUACCAUCAUUGUUAAAACAGUUAUCCAAUAUUUCAUAUACGAAUAACGCAACGUUCCCUGCGUAUCAUCGUCCAACAUCACCCGAUUAUACUGUUGGCACAGAACCAUUAACACAACAAACUUAUUUUAAAAUGAUGCAAAAUUUCUUAAAACCAAAUGAUGUCAUCAUUGCUGAUCAAGGUACAUCAUUCUUUGGUGCUUAUGAUUUAGCAUUAUACAAAAACAAUACUUUUAUAGGGCAACCGUUAUGGGGUUCUAUCGGCUAUACAUUACCUGCAACAUUAGGUUCACAAUUAGCAGACAAAGAUCGUCGUAACUUAUUAUUAAUUGGUGAUGGCUCAUUGCAACUAACUGUUCAAGCUAUUUCAACUAUGAUUAGACAGCAUAUUAAACCGGUAUUAUUUGUGAUUAAUAAUGACGGCUAUACGGUAGAACGACUUAUUCACGGCAUGUAUGAACCUUAUAAUGAAAUUCACAUGUGGGAUUAUAAAGCUUUACCAGCUGUAUUUGGUGGUAAAAAUGUUGAAAUUCAUGACGUUGAAUCAUCAAAAGAUUUACAAGACACGUUUAAUGCAAUUAAUGGUCAUCCCGAUGUGAUGCAUUUUGUCGAAGUCAAAAUGUCUGUCGAAGACGCACCGAAGAAACUGAUCGAUAU
RNAcentral lists this small RNA (1170 nucleotides) under Staphylococcus aureus. RNAcentral's name for it is "HMPRFS0000_0196". Lineage: Bacteria; Bacillati; Bacillota; Bacilli; Caryophanales; Staphylococcaceae. The record is from RNAcentral.